AUUGAACGCUGGCGGCAUGCUUUACACAUGCAAGUCGAACGGUAACAGGUUAAGCUGACGAGUGGCGAACGGGUGAGUAAUGCAUCGGAACGUGCCCGGUCGUGGGGGAUAACGCAGCGAAAGUUGCGCUAAUACCGCACACGAUCUAAGGAUGAAAGCGGGGGACCGUAAGGCCUGGCGUGAUCGGAGCGGCCGACGUCGGAUUAGGUAGUUGGGGGGGUAAAGGCUCACCAAGCCAAGGAUCUGUAGCUGGUCUGAGAGGACGACCAGCCACACUGGGACUGAGACACGGCCCAGACUCCUACGGGAGGCAGCAGUGGGGAAUUUUGGGCAAUGGGCGAAAGCCUGAUCCAGCAAUGCCGCGUGCAGGAAGAAGGCCUUCGGGUUGUAAACUGCUUUUGUACGGAGCGAAAAGGUCUCCUCUAAUACAGGGGGCUCAUGACGGUACCGUAAGAAUAAGCACCGGCUAACUACGUGCCAGCAGCCGCCGCAG
This 493-nucleotide ribosomal RNA is filed under the name uncultured bacterium. RNAcentral describes it as "partial 16S ribosomal RNA". It matches the Rfam family "Bacterial small subunit ribosomal RNA", at positions 29 to 523 of the family's 1533-position model. The record is from RNAcentral.